RNAcentral lists this ribosomal RNA (122 nucleotides) under Mycosphaerellaceae sp. RNAcentral's name for it is "partial large subunit ribosomal RNA". It matches the Rfam family "Eukaryotic large subunit ribosomal RNA", at positions 99 to 225 of the family's 3401-position model. Lineage: Eukaryota; Fungi; Ascomycota; Dothideomycetes; Mycosphaerellales; Mycosphaerellaceae. The record is from RNAcentral.
CGGCAACAGCUCAAAUUUGAAAUCUGGCGCACGCCCGAGUUGUAAUUUGCAGAGGAUGCUUCUGGGCAGCGGCCGGUCUAAGUUCCUUGGAACAGGACGUCACAGAGGGUGAGAAUCCCGUA